AUAAUGAUAAAUUCACUGGAUUAAUAUUAUAUUUGGGUUUGGUACAGAUUUUCAUAAAUUAGAGAUAAAAUGCACAUUGAGUACAAAUUUGACUAAAGAAGGAUUCCUUCCCAGAUCCGACCCGGUUGAAGAUCGGGUCGGGUCCGAGUCGGGUUCGGAUCCGAAUCAGGUCCAUUUCUUUUGUGCUUUUAGGAAAUAAUUUUGGGGCAAAUCUAAUUUGGCCAUAUCAUAACUAUGAGGUGCUGGGUGACCCAUGACUUAAAAGAUUUGCAAUUGACCUCCAGUGAGAACAGAUGACCCGUGACGAAUCCGUCUACAAUCCAAAUUUCAUAUCACAUUAUUUAUUUUAUCCAUAUGACUGAUUGGACGGAACUUGGUGUCUCCCAGCUCCCAUCUCAGGAGGGCAAAAGACAUCCCAGCUCUUCUCGGAUCGUAGCCGCAUCCCGACCAUCCAUGUCCUCCUCCUUCCCAGCAACCAAAGAAGGAAGUUCACACCCUUCCAAAUCCUCCACGCCAUCAACGCGUUCACAGUCAGCGAUCCAGCUUGCUCCCAGCGCCUCACAGCAGCAUCUCCUCCGCGUCUCUGGCCCGUCCGCAUCUCAAGCUCUUCCGGAUUCCA
Molecule: long non-coding RNA, 619 nt
Filed under: Phoenix dactylifera (date palm)
Lineage: Eukaryota; Viridiplantae; Streptophyta; Magnoliopsida; Arecales; Arecaceae
Description: long non-coding RNA (PDAC_LNC017234)
Source: RNAcentral